RNAcentral lists this ribosomal RNA (1905 nucleotides) under marine metagenome. RNAcentral's name for it is "bacterial LSU rRNA". It matches the Rfam family "Archaeal large subunit ribosomal RNA", at positions 475 to 2472 of the family's 2987-position model. The record is from RNAcentral.
ACCGAUAGUUGACAAGUAGAGUGAUCGAAAGCUGAAAAGUAUCCUUGACGGGAUGUGAAAAGUACCUGAAACCAGUUAGGAACAGGCUGAGUGAGCGUGAAAGCGAUGAUAUGAGCAGCGUUCACUCGUGCGUUUCGAAAAAUGCCCCUGGGAGUCUUGAUUAUUGGCGAGGUUAAGCAGUUAAUCUGCGAAGCCGUAGGGAAACCGACAAGUCCGCAGCCCUUCGGGGUGAGGGACGGGAUGUGCUCGUCCGAAGUCAAUAGUGGAGAACCUGAAGCCUGUCGAUCUAUGCCUGGCCAGAUUGAAGCCCGACGAAAGUUGGGUGGAGGAUCGCACCGUUGCUGAUGUGCAAAUCGCUCGGACGAGCUGGGUAUAGGGGUGAAAGUCCAAUCGAGAUAGGCAAUAGCAGGUUCCGCGCGAGACUACUCGUAGGUAGACCUCUGUAGAGACAGAUUACGCUGUAGAGCACUGAUUGGGUGUUUAGGGAGAGCAAUCUCUCGGCAUCCUGCCAAACUCCGAAGGUGUAAUCGUUGAAGAAGCAGGGAGUGAGCCACGGUGGGUAAGCUACCGUGACGAAAGGUGAACAAACCAGCCUAGUGUUAAGGUCCCAAAAUUCCAACUAAAUGUAAAGAUAAACCGUGUCCGUGGUCGAAGACAACUAGAAGGUGGGCUUAGAAGCAGCCACCCUUGAAAGAGUUCGUAACAGAUCACUAGUCAAGCUUGCGGGCCGGGAAAAGGGACGGGGCUAAGUUGGAUACCGAUACAUUAGACCAGCGAAAGCUGAUGUGGUAGCGCGGCGACAUGCUCGGACAGAAGCGAGGCUGUGAAGUCUCGUGGACCGUGUAUGUAUGAGAAUCCAGGGAAGAGUAGCAGCAAAGUGUGGUGAGAAUCCGCACCACCGGAGGGGCCAGGGUUCCUCGGCAAUGAUCGUCAGCCGAGGGUUAGCCGGUCCUAAGGAUAUCCUUAACCGAGAUAUUCGAAAGGGAAAUGCGUUAAUAUUCGUAUGCCUCUAUACAAUAAUGGUGACGGCUUUGGUUAGUUCGGCGGGUCAUAUAGCAGGCCCGUGAAGCGUACAAUAAUCGAUUGGAGAACCGUCAUGGUGAGAAGAUCGAGAAGGCGUGAAAGUAAUCCGAAUAAUACCAAGGUCCCGUGAAAAACCGUAUAGAUGACCGUACCGAGAACUGACACAGGUGCCCCUGGGUGAGUAGCCUAAGGUGUGACGGAAAAACAACCGCGAGGGAACUCGGCAAAAUCGCCCCGUAACUUCGGGAGAAGGGGUGCCAGCCUUGAGAAAGGCUGGUCGCAGUGACUAGAGGACUCCGACUGUUUAAUAAAAACAUAGGAGACUGCCAGUCCGAAAGGAUGUGUAUAGUCUCUGAAUCCUGCUCAGUGCCGGUAUCUGAAAUCGGGGUACAACCUGACGAAGGACCGGUAAACAGCGGGGGUAACUAUGACCCUCUUAAGGUAGCGUAAUACCUUGUCGCUUAAUUGGCGACUUGCAUGAAUGGUCUAACGAGAGUCCUACUGUCCCCGCGGUUGGUCCGGCGAAAUUGACUUUACUGGCGCACAGUCCAGUACCUUCAGCCUGCAAGCGAAGACCCCAUAGAGCUUUACUGCAGCCUGUCGUUGUGUAGUGGCACUCCACGUGCUGCGUAGACGGGAGACAUUGAUCCACCAGGCGCCAGCCUGGUGGUUAGUCGACAAGAGAGACACCGUCCUUGAAGUGCAACUACACUCACUCUUAACGAGGACACCGGUAGGUGGGCAGUUUGGGUGGGGCGCCACGCGCUCGAAAUGAUAACAAGCGUGCCCAAAGGUCAGCUUAGGUGGUUCAGUCUCCACCGCUAAAUGUAAGGGUAAAAGCUGGCUUGACGUGGAUCGGCACAAUAACGAUCGACGAUGCGA